GGCAAUUUUUUCCUAGUAUGAAAUAUUGAAAAUACGGGUUUCAUGUAUAACACAAAGUUCCAGCAUGGGUUGUAGAUCUGGAAGCCAUCUGUUAUGUGCAUGAGGAUAAGCUCUUCCAGGAGUGAUGUGAGGUUUAAAAUAGGUAAACAUUGAACCUUGGAGAAAAAUGAUAUCUGGGACGAGCAGAGGAUAAAAUUCCUUCAAAGGAGAUGGAGAAGUUUGGAAGGAGCAUCACGCAGAAUCCAAGAAAGGCAAAAGUACCAAAGAGCUGAGUGCUGAACAAAGCAUACUGCCACACCAUGUUAGAGAAGAUAGGAUGGAAAUGACCAGUGAAUUCCUAACAAAGUAGGUACCUUAGUUAAAGCAGUUUUGUUUAUGCUGUGGGAGAGAAAAUAAAUAUAGAACUAGAACAGACCUUAGAAAUUACAACCUUCUUUCCUCCCUCCCUUCUUCUCUUCUGGUUCCUUCCUUCCUUCCUUCCUUCCUCCUUUCUUUCUUUACUCUUUUUUAAAUUUCAAUUUUAAGUGAAAGCUAUUUCAAUAUAUUUUAAAUUGAGAGCAAAAAAUGGAGUGUGAAAAUAGAGGAAAUAGAGAAAAGACUGGGCAAGAUGGGGCAUUGCAUUCUCUAAGAUGGAAAGUAGGGAGAAAAGAAUGGUGACUUGUGGAUGGAAGUAAGUUCUCUAGGUGAGGAGAUUCAUGUCUGGUAGCCUCUCCAUUCUGUGAAGCUGUCUACUGUGUUGACAUGACUGUGAACAUGGGAUGAAAGCUAACAAAAACAUGGUAAAUGAAGGAAAUAGCACUGCAGGAAAUUAAGAAGGGAGAUAAUUAUGCCCAAGGAAACAACAGAAAGAGUUCGAUAACCUCUACCUGUAGUAUUUUAUUAUAAAAAUGAAAAAAAAAUCAAUAAUAUAAAUUCUGAAAAAUACACGUGAUUUACGCAAUAACUUCCAUAAUGUCCUAUGGAACUUUGUGUCAGACAUUGAGCCCUGAAAUGAUCGAAAGACUCCAUUUCCUCCAAUAAAAAGACUGAGUUCUGCCUUAUUAAAACUAAAGAAACCUUAAACCUCAAUAGAUUUCAUAUAUUUGAAACAUUAGAAUUUAAAACUAACAAAAGUCAAUAGAGAGAGGAAAAAGUCAAAUAAGAUUGUCUAGAAAGUAAAAUUUCUUGGCCACAGGGGUUUUAAAUUUAAUUACUCUUAUUACCUCUGUACUAACUUAAAAUGUCCAGGGGUUAAGCUUUAGUGUGUCCCCAAAUGCCAAGGUCUUUGCCUAUGUCUUGACUGCCUUAAUUAAAAGAGAUUUUUUAAAAAUCAUCUUGAGAAUGGUUUUUCUUAGCUCUUUCUUGAUUUAUUAUUCCCCUAACAAUGUCAACCCAUUUAAGUAGAAAUAACACAAAGUAGCUUCCUUAACUUCAAUAACCUGGGAAAAGGUUUACAGGAGUAUGGAAUCAUCAAAUUAUCCUUCCAUCCACGUCUGUAUUAAGGACAUGUAAGAACUUUUUAGAACAAAGUUUGGCAGCCAGCAUAUACUCAAUUAAUAUUCCCUAUUUAUAAAAUAUGAAAUUCAGUGAAAUACUAUGUGUAUGUGUCUCUCCCAAAAUGAAUCUGAAACUUGGCACGCUGGCUAAAAAUGCUUUGAAACAUCUCUCAAAUGAACAAUUUUUAGAUAUUACAUUUUAGAAAUGAAAUAACAGUAUCAGAUAAUUGGCAGCAAAGUCAUUUUCCCAAGUACCGAUGCCAAGCACAUGGCAGACAUCCAUUAUGGGUUGAUGUAGAUCAAAAGGGGCUGAGACACCAUCUCAUGCUUAUAGAAUUUCAGAAUUAGAGACAUUUGGAAGGGAAAAGUUAGCAUCAUUUGCCACGUGAAAGCCAAGCCAUGUGCACUGAGCUGCAUUUCCUCACUAGGCAGGACCCAUUCCUUCCAUCCUUAUUUACCACCCACUCUGGGUUUCUUAUAAUAGCCAGUGAAUCCAGAAUUAGUCAAAACUAAAUGCCUCACUCCAGUUACAACAAAGGCUGACUUAGGGUCUUCCUGUUGGUGAUAGGUCUCCUCUCUAUGUGCCUGAUAAGCCAGAAUCUUUCCCCCUCUCCAGAUAAGCGUGCAUGAGUGAACCAUCUAAAAGUACUUAGAAAAAAAAAAAAACCUCUAAUACUUCUAGAGAAGGGAAAAGUCAAACACCGCUCUCCUUUCCUGGACCCCCACCCAAGGGCCUAAUUUUCUUCUAUUAGACCACAUUCUCUGGUCGUUCUUUCACAUCAGGCUCUUUAACAAAAUAAAUUUAUGAAUUGAUGCAUAGUUUUAAAAUGUGCUUGAAUACUUCCAGGACUUUGAAAGACCUCCUGAAAUAAUGUAGUCAGACUCGCUGGAACACAUAAUCCAUACACGCAUGAUGAAGAAAUGACUUGGAGCUAACAGUAGGCUUUGGAGGGUAGAAGGAGGAAAAGGGCAAUUGACUUGUCAUGUUAAACUCCGUGUAACACGGAUGAAGUGGAGAUUUUAAACUGCAAUGUUAUUGUAAAUUUUCCAGUAAUCUAGAUUUCUGAAUUGCAAAUACUGGAAACCAGUUCUGCUUUCCUGCUUCACACUGACAGCGACACUUUGCUUACCCACAUCUGAGAUCGUGUGGCUUUCGAUUCAUUCUGUUGUUGAUGCCUCCUCUUCUGUUUUCUCAAAAUGUAAAUAUUUGUUCUGUCUGCAUCCUAAUUGCUAGUCUUGGUGUCUUAUUGUGUAUGAGGGCUGUGGUAACUCAGAUGCCUCAGGGUCUCUUGCUAUGUGCUGGGAUUUCAUGUCUUAGGACAUUAGCUUGGCAUAGUAGUCAGCUACCCUGUUCCAUGCCCCUGACUAAACUGCACUUAUGUCUCUAAUUGAAAGCCAAAAUUAUUUGAGUCCUCUCUACAGAGAGGAAACCCAGAACUAUUAUUCUGUACACACACCAAACCACAGGAGCCUGGGUGAGGGUCUGUAAUGACAGGGCCUCCUACACAGCACAUUUGCAAGCUUUCUACUAAUUACCUUAAUUUUCUUUGUCUAGACUAACUUAUUGCAUUGAAAAGCUCCUUUUCUAAAGGAGUGGGGGUGGGAGUGAAAGGGACAUCGUUAGUCCUUCAAUUCCUGCCAAGUAAAGAGGAGAGAAAGACAUGAAUAGAACCAAGAAAACAAAUAGAACAGAACCAGAAGAUUUGCCCUUGAAUGGACUGUUUCCUAGAGCACAUGCUGAUUUAAAAUUGAUCUGGGAGUCUGUGAUCUAGGAAGACUGGAAUCACUACAUCAGAAAACACAUUAAACGAUAUAUAAACCCAAAGAAGAAAGGUGUUUCAUAAGAGAAAACAGUCACUAAGCAGGAAAAUGACACUCUGAUGAGUGUCAAUUCCUACAUCACCAGCAAUAAUGAAAAUUCUGUUUUGGUCUGCUUUCUUGACAUUUUCCCAGUUUGUCUUUUCAGACUGAAAGUAAAUGGGUUUGUGUGGAAUAACCUGGCUUCUCUUUGGCUCAUUCUUGUGGUGAACACUAAGAGAAAUUUAAUGUCUCCGCUAUAAGCCAUUUUGAAAACUUUUUUUGUAGAUACAGGGGUUGGAUCAGCUUAAGUAACUCGGGCUGCAUUUUCACCAUCCUUAAAAGCUAGAGAUGAAAACAAAUAUUGAUAUUUACAGAUUGUAUGGCUUUAAGGCUAGGAAGAAGAGCACGAGAGGUGCUCAUAGAUUGCCACAGUGAACUGAAAGGCCAAAGGGCAAGGCUGGCUCUUCCUGGGCUGCAGCUGCCCCUUUGGUUGUCAACAGGCCAAGGCCAUGGGAACAUUAGUCCUGGCUGGGAGCCCUAGAAACUCCUUUCCUGUGAGACAUUCUCUUUAGCCAAAUUCUUAAGGCCUGCUGGUUAACUGACUUCCCACCUCUCCUCUGUUGGGAACAUUACAUGUAUUUCCAUUUACAAAAGCAAAGACUUAUUGGUUUCCUAGGAUAUGAUGAUGGGUUUCAUUUUACUGCUAUCUUGUGUCUCCAUCAUGUUUCCCUUGAUUGAUCUACUUUUGAGUUAGGUUAAAUUAACUCUCAGUGCGGGGUGCCUGGGUGGCGCAGUCGGUUAAGCGUCCGACUUCAGCCAGGUCACGAUCUCGCAGCCCGUGAGUUCGAGCCCCGCGUCGGGCUCUGGGCUGAUGGCUCAGAGCCUGGAGCCUGUUUCCGAUUCUGUGUCUCCCUCUCUCUCUGCCCCUCCCCCGUUCAUGCUCUGUCUCUCUCUGUCCCAAAAAUAAAUAAACGUUAAAAAAAAAUUAACUCUCAGUGGACCAAAAAUUCAGUUUUUAUUUUUGUUUUCAGAGGUUUGUUUUUGCAUCUUCAUAAAUUGUGCAUGAUAAAGAUAUUUUUCUGGAUUAAAUAUACUGAUAAAUCCUCAAACUAGGUGUAAAUUGAAGAACCGAUGCUGUGUUUUUCCUAGCAGAACAAGGAAAUAGCUUGAGUUUCUCUUUCUAAGUCUGAGGGCACCAUUGUUGUGAAGGUCCCAGAUGUGUCUUGGGUCAUUGGCUCUAGGAUAGGCGUAGGUAAUUUGGGCUGGGCAGCUACACACUUGGAAGUGAACGGUGCUGCUGCGGGCUUUGUCACUCAUUUAUCCAGAGUAAUUUAUUACAGACUAAUUUAUUACAUUUAUUAUAGAGUAAUCUCUGUGUCCCAUUUCUAGGAGUGAUAAUUAGAUAUUGAUUAGAUUGGUGGUUUUUAGCCAGACGUGACUUUGCUCCCCAGGGGAUGUCUGUCAAUGUUUGGAGUCAUUUUUGGUUGUCACUACUGCGGAGUGGAGUGUUACUGGAAUCUAGAAGGAUAGGCUCCAGGGAUAAUGCUAAACAUCCUACGGUGUCAGGACCAUCCUCCACAAGAAAUAAUUAUCUUGUCCCUGAUGUCAAUAGUAUCAAGAAAUUUAAUUCAUGAGAAAUCAUGAAUUAAACUGACAAUUUGCUAUUUUCUCACAUCUUUCCAGAUUGACAAACCUUUCCAAUUGACAAAUUGACAAUUUGCUGCUCUCUCACAUCUUUCCAGAUGCGAUGGAAUUUAGAGCUAUCUCUCGUCACUCUAUGGCAACUGAUUCAGCAUUUUACUUUCUUAGGAGCUGAUCCGUUUUUUCUAUAAUGCUGGAUAACUCUUUGGAUUUUUUCACUCAGUUUUAAUGGAACUGGAAUCAUAAGAAGCUUUGGCGUAAGAAAUUAACACCAAGCUAAUCUGCUAUAAAACUUUGCUAAUGCUUCUGAUUUGGGAUAAAGGUGUCAUAUUUUUUUAUGCCUGGUAGAUUUUUAUCUAGAUUUUUUCCUAGUAAAUUAGAGGUUCUUAUAAAAUUAUUCACCACCAACUGGAAGAAAAAGUUCCUUCCAUUUAUACAAAUUCUAUAAAAUCCCACAAAAAAAUCACCUUCUUUUUGAAGCCUCCUACUUUCUUUCCAGCACAUUCUCAAGAUCUCAUUAAAACAUCAAUUCCUCUGUGAAGCAUCCCUAAAUGUCCUAGGAUGAAUUUUCUAGAUCACUAUAUCAUGUUUAUUUGUCUGUAAUUUUAUCCCCCCAUCAGAUUAUGAAUUACCUAAGGUUGGGGCCAAGCUUGCUUCACGUUAGGAUGACUCUACAACCCAGCAGAGUAAACAGAGAAAGUGCUCAGUAAAAUGUGUCAGAUAAUUAGUCUAGAAAUUACCACAAAUAUUUCAUGUUAGUUUUAGGAACAGAGUACACCUUUAAAAAAUAUUUGACAUAAACACAAAAUAUGUCAUCAAAGGUAACUUUGAUUACAUAGCUAUAAUAGUAAACCUACCUUGACAUUGAUCUUUCCUAGCAAUAAAUAAUUACAUUUUAAAGGGGUUGAUACAUAGGCUAGCACUAUUUCUGAAAUUUGACAUUUUAAGAGAAAAACUAUAUAUGAGACUAUUAUAAUUUUAAAAGCAUAUUAUAUCCUUUGCUAUGGAACCAAGAAUAGAACUAAGGUUCAUAUAUUCCAAAUGCCCCAACUUUGACUUGAAAAAUUCUUUGUAUCACUCACAGCUAUGUGGUUUCUAUUAUUAUUAGAAAAAUGAUUCCACUCCCAUGUUUUUAAGCAUUUUCAAGUUCAUCUAUGCCCUUUCACACAUCUCUUUUAUUUUAUGAUCUUUGUAGUUUGAAAUAUGUGAUUUUGGCAUACUGAAUGCUAUACUCUUUUCCUUUUCUUAUCUUAAUUGCUAAUGUUGUUUUAUGUAUGAUUUGUGUAUGUGUUGUAAAGAACUAAACUAUCAGACCACUCUAAAUCUUCUCAUCCCUCUGGCCCACGAAAAGUUUUACAAUUCUCAAAAUUCAAGACUUCACAUUACCCACACCAAUUCAUUUCAUAGACAAAAUUAGAUUGAAUAUUACAGAUCACUAAAAUAUAAUACAAUCAAAAGACAGUUUUGCAUAAAACUAUACAAAAAAAAAACAAUGACAGUUGCUUAAUUAACCAAGUAAUACUUAUUAAUUAGUUAUCACUUAAGUCAAAAUAUAUGUUAUUGUUUAUUUUUAAGAUUUUAUUUUUAAGUAAUCUCUAUGCCCAACAUGGAGCUUGAACUCACAACCCUGAGAUCACGAGUUGCAUGUCCUAUAGGGGCGCCUGGGUGGCUCAGUCGGUUAAGCGUCCGACUUCGGCUCAGUUCAUGAUCUUACGGUUCCUGGGUUCGAGCCCCACAUUGGACUGUGCUGACAGCUCAGCGCCUGGAGUCUGUUUCAGAUUCUGUAUCUCCCUCUCUCUCUGCCCCUUCCCAACUCGCGCUCUUUCUCCCUCUGUCUCAAAAAUAAAAUAAAUAUUAAAAAAAAAAAUUAAGAGUUGCAUGCCCUACUGACUGAGCCAGCCAGGUAGUGCCCCAAUAAUAAUGUUUAAAACAAAACUAACUAAUUAACUACUCCCAACUUAUCCCCAUCUCUUCACAGUUGUUUCCAAUUUCUCUAGGAAGAAUCUGUCACUUCAUAAUUUGUCCACUUUAUGUAUGUCUCACAAAACCGCUCACUGCCAGAGCCAAAAGGUAGGGACAUGUGCAUGUGUCUCAUCACAUUUAUCUUGCCCUCCCACAGUACCUAUCACAGAGUUCUGCACAUAACUCACUAAAUUCAGUGGAGGUAUGCACUACAGAGAAGCUUGCAAACAAUACUCCUUGCAUCUGUGCUUCAAAGGUAGGCUUCUCAGAAAUUAGUAAAAUGUACUGCAAUGUGUUGGCACUGUCCAUGGUAUCUUUUGGAAAUGAGAGAUAAAAUAAGAUUUGUAUUUAAUUGAAAGAAGUAGUUGUCAGCUCAUAAAUAUUAAUCACCUGCCUUGUCUGCUUAAUAUUUUAAAGUACCAUUUUAGAUGCUGGCAACACAAAGAAGUAACUUGUCCUUUGUGGGUUUAUAAUAAAUACAAUUAGGAAAGUAAAAUGCACACACACAAUGUCAAAAAAUGCAUAGCAACAUAGGUUAUCAUGUAGAAAAUGCCAAUGGAAGGAAGGAAAUAGUGACACCAGAGUUCACAAGAAAGAAGACACUGAACAGUAAGGUCCCUGUAGAUGCCCUAAUGAAGGAGGUGAAAAUUGGCCUGACCUUAAAAGGAAGAAAGAGAUUUAAAGGGGAGGGGAUUGGGGCACCUGGGUGGCUCAGUGAGUUGAACAUCCUACCUCGGCUCAGGCCAUGAUCUCAUGGUCUGUGAGUUCGAGCCCCGUGUCGGGCACUGUGCUGACAACUCAGAGCCUGGAGCCUGCUUCAGAUUCUGUGUCUCCCUCUCUCUCUGCCCCUCCCCCCUCAUGCUCUGUCUCUCUCUCUCUCUCUCUGCCAAAAAUAGAUAAACAUUAAAAAAAAUUUUUUAGGUAAAAUAUAAAGGGCAGGGACUGAUGAAAGGUAUUCUUGGCAAAAAAAUGUGAAGAAAUGCCUUGGAAGCUGGAAUGCAUUUAGCAUGGUUACAAAGGAGAGAUGGGAGAGGAGUAUUUUUAUGUGAAAGAAGGUUAGGAAGGUGUCUCUAAGAAGACAGAGUGGUGCAUUAGACUAAGCAUGUCAGAUACCAAAGAAAUUUAGAUUGGUCUUGAUAACUGAAAAGAUCUUUAACAAAGUAGUCAAUGAAUUAAGAGUUGUUUUUGGAGGAUUAACAUGGCACUUAAAGGAAAAUUCUGGGAACAGGAAGUCUUUGGGAGAAAAUUAUAAUCAUCUACUUAUUAUAUUAAAAAAACCAAGAAGUCAGGUUAUGACACCUUAAAUGCUGACUGACAAGUUAUUGAAUAAAUGAGUACAUAGAUUUGAGAAUCACAAAUAUGUUAUGUGAUAGGAGAAAGAGAAGGGACUGUUAAGUUACUGUAAAGAAAGACAAUAAGAUUUAGUGAUAAACAUUUGCUUUUUUAAAAAGGGAAGAUUUUAGAUGGAUUUUUUUAUGUUUAUAUAAAAAAACAUAGAAAUAGGAUUUAGGUUAUUUAAUCUCAUAAAAUAUCUAAGACUUUCUUUUGAAACUUCCAAAUCUUUCCCAAUUGCUCAGAUUUAAUUUCUCCAUCCUAGUCAUUAGAACUUUGUAAGCAGUUCUCUUAAAGCUCUCAUACUAUGGUCUAUAUUGUAUUAUUUUAGUACAAGACUCAAAAGCUUUGAGUUUGGGUUGAUAAGAAAAUAGUGUUUCCAAUAACUUAUAAAGAAUAACUAGUUUUGCCAAAAAAAAAAUACAUGAGUCUAGUUUAAGAUAUUGAGAGUUUGAAGUAAUUGUAGGACUUUUAGUAAGGGGUGUCUAAUCGAUAGGCAAAGAUAAAGAGUUCAAAAUUGAGGAUUUGACAAAAGUGUCCCUUUGAUCCAUGAAAAUAUUCAGUUGAGAUUCCUGAGAGAAAAGGAAAAAGGUUAUACAAAAUGAAUGUCCAUGUUCAGGGAGGGAAUGAAGAAAAAUGAAGCCAGUGAAUUUCCUUUAAAAGAAAAUUUCUAAAGUAAAAUAAGAACUAGGCCCAUGUGGAAUCACAGAAACUAAAGGAGGAAAGGAAUUUUGGAAGGAGAUAAGAGUAAUCCAGGAGAAUAAUGACUGAAAGAAAGAUCUUUGGUUUUGGUAUUUAAAAGGUCACUGUUAACUGUUGAAAAAAAAGAAGACCCAGUCCAAGUAGCAACCAAAGUCAGAUCAGACUUAAGAAGUAAAGCAAGAAGUAGAGAUAGAAGAUGGAAGGAGCUUGAAGGUGAUAUGUUAAUUACUGAGUCAAAUUUAGAAAGAGAUAAGUCACCAUAGCGUUAAAAAAGAAGUUAGGGUGUGCCUAGGUGUUAGGAGAUCUGAGCAGAUUUACAAGGUAAAGAAUCCAUAAGAAGUAAAAGAUUAAAGAUGGAACAGGAAAUACUGUGCAUCAGAGCAGCAGAAAGUUCAAGAGGAUAUGGGAAUUUAUAGUACAGAAUGACUAGAGGGGGACUCGUCUUGUAAAAGAGGAGAUGCUGCUCUUUCUCUGAGAUAAGAUGGUCCAGCAAGCUAUGAAUAUGUGCUUUGAGCCUGUGAAAAAGAUGUGGCUCUGAGUUGUGCAGAGGUGGCAAGGAAUAAAAAGAAAGGUAGAGUUCCAUUUAUGGAAAGAAGUUAGCUCUUGAGAAGGAUAGAACUGUGAGAAAAGACUCUGGAGGCAAGAUAAAACAGGAUUAGGGGCAAAUUUAAACCAUGAAGACCUUAUAAUGAGCUUAUAAAUGAGUAAGUUUUAAACUCAUGGCACAAUUUUUUGCUUUCUCCAGCAAUGCUCAGAAGACUGAGUGAAUGUGGAUGUGACUCAGGAUGUGGGGGGCAGCAUAAUUAAAGGCCCCAGUGAGAUUUGGUGUGGGGGGUUGGGGAGUAAGAGGAAAUGGAAUAAGGCCAAAAAUGGCAUUAACUCAAAAGCUAGAAAGGAUUGCUUUCUGUUAAAAUGAAAGAUGAAAAUAGAAUUCUUUUAAACAUUGUCAACACCCAGUUUCUAAUCUUUAAUUUUCUAGCUUUAUAAUGGUAUUUCCUUUUUGGUCAGUCUGAAAAGAUUUUAAUGAUACUUUUGUUAUAUGCUAAUUAAAAUGGUUUUCAUUGCAAAUUGCAAUGUUUUGAUUGAUCAAAAGCAGAUAUUGUGCUGACGUAUGCAAUAAAUGGGCAUUUUCAAACAUUCCCAGACUAUAUUCUUUAAAUUAGGUCUUUCAUAUAUCUGGACAUAUUGCAAAUAGUAUGACAAGACCAUGAAGAUCAAUUAGAAUGGAAACUUAGAAUUUAAAAUACUGAUUUUGAAAAAAAUAAUCUUCCAUGGCCUAAAGAACCUACUAAAAGUGUUCUAUAAUGAGCUAAAUAUUGCAAAAUGUUCUUCCAUUUGAUUUAUUCUGUUGUAUUCUGAAUUGGGCUGGUUUCUCAUCUUCCCCAUGCUUUCAGUGGAGCUGAUCCAAGCACAGAGUCUUCUUUAACAUUGGAAGGGACUUUGCAUUUGGAUCUCAUCCACAAGGAUUCAAAGCUAGAGGAACACUGGUUCUUUGAAAUGAAAUGACUGUGGGUCUUAAGUCCCUGACAUUUGAAAAAAAAUCUGGUUGAUUCAUGUUGAGAUCUGAGUUCAGUGACGAAUACAUAUUUUGAGUAUUAGGGCCUCCUUGUCAUUAAACAUUUUUUUUUUAAAUGAACAGUUGAAUGAGGUGCAAAGUUUAAGCACAAAUAAGAAUGAAAAAAACACAUAGAAAUCAGAUGUGUGUUCUCUUUCUUUUUCCCUCCUUGAAUGCUGAGUUCAGACUAGUUGAGGCUAUUGAAGACAAAUCUUUGUUGAAUUAAUGGAGACAGGAGGAAGAAUCAUUUAGAAAAUCAGAGGUUCUUAGAGCCAGAAAGGAUCCUACAGAUUAUGUCACCAUUCCUUAUGAAUUUUGUAUAUCAGGAAAACUGUGACUUCAAAAACAACAUGAUAUGUCUAGGUUUACACACCUAUUUACUGAAUAAUCCAGGACAAUCCACCAGAACUGUCAGUUUAGUUAGCUAACUUUCCAUUGCAUCAUGCUGCCUCUUAGAAGUUUCUCUUAACCCAAACAAUUUAUUAAUUGGAUAACUUUCCAUAGAGAGUAUAGAUUUUUCUUGUAGCAAUAGCAUUAGGAUUCUAGGGUAAUUUAUUUCUCUCCCUAUAGGAAUCAGCUACAUUUAAAGUAUUCAACUAAAAUAAUUUCUAAUAGUUGUCUUUGAAAGUGAUUCCAGUUUUUCGUAGUCUUCAUAGUUUUAAAAGAGGUUUUUAUGUUUUUAGAGAAGUUUUAGGUUGGCAAAAUUUUUGAGAGGAAGGUAGAAAGAUUUUCCAUAUGCCACCUGUCCCCACACACUCAUAGCCUCUCCCAUUAUUAACAUCACUCACCAGAAUGGUACCUUUUUUUUUAGCUAAAGAUGAACCAACAUGAACAUAUCAUAAUCACCCAAAGUCCAUAGUUUACCAUAAGGUUCACUCUUGGUGAGGUAAAUCAUGUGGGUUUGGAGAAAUGUAUAAUGAUGUGUCUCAUUAUUAUAUCAUACAGAGUAUUUUCAGGGCCCUAAAAAUCCUCUGUGUUCUGCCUGUUUAUCCCCCCACCCCCACCCCUUGUUGGCAACCACUGAUCUUUUUAUUGUCUUCAUGGCUUUGUGUUUUUCAGAAUGUCAUAUAGUUGUAACCACAUAGUAUGUAGCUUUUUAGUUUGGCUUUUAUCACUUCAUAAUGUGCAUUAAGGUUCCUCUAUGUCUUUUAAUGGUCUGUUAGUUCAUUUCUUUCCAGUGCUGAAAAAUACUCUAUUGUUUAGAUAUAUCACAGUUUAUUUAUCCACUAAUCUAUUAAAUGACAUCUUAAUUGCUCCCAAGUUUUGGCAAUUAAGAAUAAAGCUACUAUAAACAUCCUUACUCAGGUUUUUGUAUAGGUAUAACCUAUAACCUUUUGUAUAGGUAUUUAUUUGGGUAAAUACCAAGGAGUAUGAUUGCUGGAUCAUAAGGUAACAGUAUGUUAAGUUUUGUAAGAAACUGCUAAACUUGUUUCCAAGGUGGCUGUGCCAUGUUGCACUCCCACCAGCAGUGAAUGAGCAUUCCUGUUGCUCCACAUCCUCUCCAGCAUUUGGUGUCAUCGGUGCUCUGGGUUGUGGCCAUUCUUAUAGGUGUGUGGUAUCUUAUCAUUGUUUUAAUUUGCAUUUCCUUGAUGAUAUAUCAUGUGGAGCAUCUUUUCAUAUGCUUAUUUGCCAUUUGUAUGUCUUCUUUGGCAGUAGGCUUUAUUUAAAAAAAAAAAUGUAUCUGUACAUAGGAAAACAGUUUUUGGUGAAGCAUAAAGAGUCCCAGGACAGGCAUCAGUAGAUUUGGUCUUGUCAUGGAUCUGCUGUCUACAAGCUGUGUGAUGCAAGAUCCAGCCUUCUUGAGCUCAUGUUCAUUGGCU
Molecule: long non-coding RNA, 12287 nt
Organism: Leopardus geoffroyi (Geoffroy's cat)
Lineage: Eukaryota; Metazoa; Chordata; Mammalia; Carnivora; Felidae
Exons: 2
Source: RefSeq, a predicted model, not a curated record